UGGCCUUGACAUGCAGAGAACUUUCCAGAGAUGGAUUGGUGCCUUCGGGAACUCUGACACAGGUGCUGCAUGGCCGUCGUCAGCUCGUGUCGUGAGAUGUUGGGUUAAGUCCCGUAACGAGCGCAACCCCUAUCCCUAGUUGCUAGCAGUUCGGCUGAGAACUCUAGGGAGACUGCCGGUGACAAACCUGAGGAAGGUGGGGAUGACGUCAGGUCAUCAUGGCCCUUACGGCCAGGGCUACACACGUGCUACAAUGGUGCGCACAGAGGGCUGCAAACCCGCGAGGGGGAGCCAAUCUCACAAAACGCAUCGUAGUCCGGAUCGCAGUCUGCAACUCGACUGCGUGAAGUCGGAAUCGCUAGUAAUCGUGAAUCAGAAUGUCACGGUGAAUACGUUCCCGGGCCU
RNAcentral lists this ribosomal RNA (405 nucleotides) under uncultured bacterium. RNAcentral's name for it is "bacterial SSU rRNA". It matches the Rfam family "Bacterial small subunit ribosomal RNA", at positions 976 to 1381 of the family's 1533-position model. The record is from RNAcentral.